CAUUUUUUUUCUUUUUUACGCAUUUUUGGAAGAUAAUGUAAUAAAUGUCCACACCCCCACACAAUGCACCCCUCUUUAAUCAACCCCUCCCUCCUUUGUGAUUGAAAAUGAGAGUCCCUUCACCUUUAAAAACAAAAUAGAUGAGCGGUCUGCACCCGCAAGGCGGUGCUCUUGUUGGCUUAGUUGUGGGCCUUGUUUUCUUUUAAAUAGCUGCUGUGGAACUUCAAAGUGCUGUAGGGGGCAUUGUGUUUCACAAAAGUCGCUCUUGUUUUUUAUGUCCCCCAGUCUAUACUAGGAGACAUAUUUCUUUUGCCCAAGGUCAUUCUUCAAGGUUAAAGGUCAAGGUCAAAUUUUGCAAUAUUGAAUAUAGCAACCUGGCAUUUUGCAUGUAUGUGUAUCUCAUGGAGCUUCACAUUUUAAGUGGUGAAAUAUCAAGGUCAGCCUUCAAGGUAAAAGGUCAAAUAUAACGAACACAUCUUGUUAUUAAAUUAAUGUUACGCAACAAUGAAUUUUGUUUAUGCCCUGCGUGCUUACGAAUUAAUUGGAUAAAACGGGAACCAAAAUGCACAUUGUUGUCAAUUGUAUAACUAUUCUCUACCUUUGCGGAAUGUAUUAAUAUAGUGAUGACGUAGUGUGGUGUUAGUUACUUUGACGACGCAACACAAAUUUUAGGAUACCUUAUGUACAUUUACGUCAUUCAGAAAAUAGAACCAAUGAGAAAAACUUUUACAUUUUUUUUAGUAUUCUUUAAUAAUUCGGUAAAAUCCAACUUUUGCAUUGAAAUUUGUCUCAAACAAAAGCUUUGGAAAUGAAGUCCUACAAUACGAGAAUAUUUUCAAAUUUUCCAAAAUUCGACUGUUUUUUGGAAGGCCUGACAUAUGGUCUUCAACAAGCAAUCUAUCCAACCAUAGUUUCAUAAAAUAAAUAUAUUUCACUUGAUAUUUAAUGCAUAUUUUUAUUUCAUUCCUGUUCAUGUAUUGACAUUAAAGUUAUACAAUGUGAUUAUAGAAAGUAGCAUUCAACAUACUGACAUCUGCUGGUUAUCUCAACAGCACAUCAGUCCAUGAUCAAACAUAGUAAGGUAUAACCGGUUAUAUGUUACACAUGAACAUGGAAACUAUGGAUGUAUUAUUGAGCUGAUGGCUAGAUAUGUUAACAAAUUUAGUAACCUAUAUUCAGUUGAACUUAAUUUGAAAACUGCAUGUUUGGUUUCUUCUGCAAGAUCUUGCACUGGAAUUGUCUCUAUUGCAGACUGAUUCUGGAUAGUCUAGGUCCUUCUAAAGCCUGUUGUUAUGGCCUAAAGUGUUUUAAGGGGAUGGUAGUUUAAAAUAAUAAGUCAAAGAAUUGGUAUACUUGGCACUUUGAAGUUUGUUCAUAUCAUUACCCUGGGGUCAAAAUUUGCCCUGCCAUAUGGUAACCUUGUUUCCAUAAUAUGUAUAUAAAAACAAAAGUAAUGAAAUAUCUUUAGAAACGGCAGAGCCAAAAGAUUUUGGUAUUUUGCGCGUAGCAUGGCAAGCUGGUCCUCUACUAAAUGUUCAAAUCAUGACCCUGAGGCCUACAAAAUUGGCUUCACCUUGGGGGUAAUUUGUUCCCUUAUAUGCAUAAAGUGAACACUACACAUCUCUGAAGCCACAAGGCCUAGCAGUUUAGUCUUGGGCAUGUUACAUCAUAAGGUGGUUUCUGUAGUAAAAUUUGGCCUGUCACUGUGUCCUGUUUCUCUAAAAGUCCAUUUUCCGGAGGGUUUUUUACGCAACAAUUUAAUAUAUUGAGCUGAUUUUUGGUAUGCCAGUCAACAUAUACGUGCCCUACAGAUGAAGUGUGAACUUUUUUCCAGAUCAUUGAUUCGUGGCAACGUUUUGAGCCUUGGACUUAAAAAUUUUCUCUUUGAUAACUGUUGUCCGGAGGUUUUUUACGAAAUGCUUUCAGCUAUUGAGCUGAUUUUGGUAUGUAAUUCUAUGUACAUGACCUACAGAUGACGUGUGAAAUUCGUUCCGGUCUUUUUAUAUUUGGCGAAGUUAUGGACCUUAGACCGCUCUCUAAUUCAAAUAGUUUACAUCUGAUCUUCACCAAACUUGGUCUGAAGUUGUGUCUAGACAAUAUCUAGGUCAAGUUCGAAUAUGGGUAAUGCUGGGUCAAAAACUAGGUCACGGGAUCACUCAGUGCAUUUCAAGGAUUAAGCAUGGUGUCAGCUCUCUAACUGAAGUAGUUUUCAUCCGAUCUUCACCAAAUUUGGUCAGAAGUUGUGUCUGGAUGAUAUGUAGGUCAAGUUCGAAUAUGGGUCAUGCCGGGUCAAAAACGAGGUCAUGAGGUUACUUAGUGCAUUUCAAGCAUUUAGCAUGGUGUCCGCUCUCUUAUUGAAGUAUUUUUCAUCCGAUCUUCACCUUAUUUGGUCAGAAGUUGUGUCUAGAUGAUAUGUAGGUCAAGUUCAAAUAUGGGUCAUGCAGGGUCAAAAACGAGGUCAUGAGGUCACUAAGUGCAUUUCAAGCAUUUAGCAUGGUGUCCGCUCUCUAAUUGAAGUAGUUUUCAUCCGAUCUUCACCUAAUUUGGUCAGAAGUUGUGUCUAGAUUAUAUGUAGGUCAAGUUCAAAUAUGGGUCAUGCCUGGUCAAAAACGAGGUCACGAUGUUACUUAGUGCAUUCCAAGCAUUUAGCAUGGUGUCUGCUCUCUAAUUGAAGUAGUUUUCAUCCGAUCUUCACCUAAUUUGGUCAGAAGUUGUGUCUAGAUGAUAUGUAGGUCAAGUUCAAAUAUGGGUCAUGCUGGGUAAAAAACGAGGUCACGAUGUCACUUUGUGCAUUUCAAGCAUUUAGCAUGGUGUCCGCUCUCUAAUUAAAAUAGUUUUCAUCUGAUCUUCACCGAAUUUAGUCAGAUGUAACGUCUAAAUGAUAUCUGAACAAGUUCAAUUAUGGGUCAUGCCGGGUCAAUAACUAGGUCUCGAGGUCACUUAGUGCAUUUCGAGCAUUGAGCAUGGUGUCCAAAACCUUCGAACAGGCGUAUCUUGUGACAGUUUGGCACUCUUGUUGGUAUAUGAGUCUACCUACAUGCCCUACAGAUGAAGUGUGAAAUUUGUUCCGGUCCAUUGAUUUUUGGCUAUGUAAUGGGCUUUGUUUUCUCUAAAAUAGCUGCUGUGCGGCUAUAAAGCGCAGUACGAUCAGUUUGCGUGUAGGUAGAUAAAAUGCAGACCAAGCAGGCAGUUUAAUAUCAAGAUUUAUUUGAACUAAAAUAUACAAAUGGUUUCUGCUUUAUUAGUCAGGAAAAGGUCAAGAUGUAUGUUUCUAAAAAUGUUUGUAGGUUGCUCACAUGCAGACCAUCUUGUGGAUUGAACAUGAAGUAAAAUAAGUAAAAAUCAUUAAAUUAUGUUAUUGUUUUUAAAUGGUAAAAUUAUUUUAACCUAUAAAAUUGUGCGUUCAUGUAGGUUUCUCUGCUCUGGUUGAUGCAUUCUUGAGUAGAUUCUAGGACUCAGAGCCGGUUUAUUUACCUUGGAAUUUUUGAAGAUAUCUUCUUCAUCAGCUGAUCACUGAUUCACUGACGUCACAAUCACAUGACCGGUAAAGAGUCACGUGAUACGAGGAGACUGUCAUACACCCGGGGUAGCUCGAGACCCUCAUCCCUGUUAAGUGAUGGCCGCCGCUGAUUAAUCUCAAUUGCUUUUUUAUACGCCCGUCUAUGACGGGACGUAUUAUGGUAUACCCCGCGUCCGUCUGUCCGUCCGUCCGUCUGUCCGUCCGUAUGUCUGUUAAUGUCGUACGCUACGUCAAAUAUCCUUUGACAGAUUUUCUUCAAAUUUUAACACAAUCUUAAUAUUGAUAAACCCUGAUCCCCUUUCGUUUUUGACGGAAUUCUGAAUUGUCGUUCCAGAGUUAUGGGACUUUGUUCGUCAAAAUUUCGUGAUUUCAUUGAAUGUCCUACUGUAGCUAUAUAAAAAUGUUAAAGUUGUUAUAACUUUGGUAUGCUUGGACCUAGAGUCUUGAAACUUGACAUGAAGGUUGGCCAGAACUAGUAAGUAACCACUGGACAUUUCAAGGUCAUUCAUUUGAAGGUCAAGGUCACUGUGACCUUGAAUGUAAAAAUGUUAAAGUUGUUAUAACUUUGGUAUGCUUGGACCUAGAGUCUUGAAACUUGACAUGAAGGUUGGCCAGAACUAGUAAGUAACCCCUGGACAUUUCAAGGUCAUUCAUUUGAAGGUCAAGGUCACUGUGACCUUGAAUGUAAAAAUGUUAAAGUUCUUAUUUCAUGUUAUAACUUUGGUAUGCUUGUACCUAGAGUCUUCAAACUUGAAAUAAAGAUUGGCCAGUACUAGAAGAUGACCACUGGUCAUUUCAAUGUCAUUCAUUUGAAGGUCAAGGUCACUGUGACCUUAAAUGUUAAAAUGUUAAAAUUGUUAUAACUUUGGUAUGCUUGGACAUAGAGUCUUCAAACUUGACAUGAAGGUUUGCAAGCACACUUAGAUGACCACUGGUCAUUAUAAGGUCAUUCAUUCUAAGGUCAAGGUCACACAAGGUCACUGUGACCUUAAAUGUUAAAAUGUUAAAAUUGUUAUAACUUUGGUAUGCUUGGACAUAGAGUCUUCAAACUUGACAUGAAGGUUUGCAAGCACACUUAGAUGACCACUGGUCAUUUCAAGGUCAUUCAUUCUAAGGUCAAGGUCACUGUGACCUUAAAUGUUAUUGUUGUUCAUGUAUCCUACCGUAGCUCAAAUAUCCCCCGAUGGAUUUUUUAUACGCCCGUCUAUGACGGGACGUAUUAUGGUAUACCCCGCGUCCGUCUGUCCGUCCGUCCGUCCGUCCGUCCGUCUGUUAAUGUCGUACACUACGUCAAAUAUCCUUUGACAGAUUUUCUUCAAAUUUUAACACAAUCUUAAUAUUGAUAAACCCUGAUCCCCUUUCGUUUUUGACGGAAUUCUGAAUUGUCGUUCCAGAGUUAUGGGACUUUGUUCGUCAAAAUUUCGUGAUUUCAUUGAAUGUCCUACUGUAGCUCAAAUAUCCUUCGAUGGAUUUUUUUCAAAUUUCAACACAAUCUUAAUAUUGAUAAACCCUGAUCCCCUUUCGUUUUUGACGGAAUUCUGAAUUGUCGUUCCAGAGUUAUGGGACUUUGUUCGUCAAAAUUUCGUGAUUUCCAUGCUCAUGUACUUAUAAAAUAAACCAUGUAUUCAAAUACAAAUAAACUGAAGUAAAAAAAUUA
Dreissena polymorpha is the source of this 5177-nucleotide long non-coding RNA. RefSeq lists it as uncharacterized. The record is from RefSeq and is a predicted model, not a curated record. The transcript is spliced from 2 exons. NCBI's taxonomy places the organism in Eukaryota, Metazoa, Mollusca, Bivalvia, Myida, Dreissenidae.